This 439-nucleotide ribosomal RNA is filed under the name uncultured bacterium. Its description in RNAcentral is "partial 16S ribosomal RNA". It matches the Rfam family "Bacterial small subunit ribosomal RNA", at positions 339 to 795 of the family's 1533-position model. The record is from RNAcentral.
CUACGGGGUGCACCAGUGGGGAAUAUUGCACAAUGGAGGAAACUCUGAUGCAGCAACGCCGCGUGGAGGAUGACACUUUUCGGAGCGUAAACUCCUUUUAUAUAGGAAGAAGAUGACAGUACUAUAUGAAUAAGCGCCGGCUAACUCCGUGCCAGCAGCCGCGGUAAUACGGAGGGCGCAAGCGUUACUCGGAAUCACUGGGCGUAAAGAGCGUGUAGGCGGAUUAAAAAGUCAGAAGUGAAAUCCUAUAGCUUAACUAUAGAACUGCUUCUGAAACUCUUAAUCUAGAAUAUGGGAGAGGUAGAUGGAAUUUCUGGUGUAGGGGUAAAAUCCGUAGAGAUCAGAAGGAAUACCGAUUGCGAAGGCGAUCUACUAGAACAUUAUUGACGCUGAGGCGCGAAAGCGUGGGGAGCAAACAGGAUUAGAUACCCCUGUAGUC